Molecule: ribosomal RNA, 101 nt
Filed under: Listeria monocytogenes
Lineage: Bacteria; Bacillati; Bacillota; Bacilli; Caryophanales; Listeriaceae
Description: partial 23S ribosomal RNA
Source: RNAcentral
AAGUAAGAGCCCUGAAAGAUGUACAGGUAGAUAGGAUUGGAGUGGAAGUGUAGCGAUACAUGGAGCGGACAAAUACUAAUCGAUCGAGGACUUAACCAAAA